UACGGAGGAUGCAAGCGUUAUCCGGAAUGAUUGGGCGUAAAGCGUCCGCAGGUGGCUAUGUAAGUCUGCUGUUAAAGAGUGAGGCUCAACCUCAUAAGAGCAGUGGAAACUACAUAGCUAGAGUGCGUUCGGGGCAAAGGGAAUUCCUGGUGUAGCGGUGAAAUGCGUAGAUAUCUGGAGGAACACCGGUGGCGAAGGCGGCGUUCUGGACUGCAACUGACACUGAGGAACGAAAGCCAGGGGAGCAAACGGG
Molecule: ribosomal RNA, 253 nt
Filed under: uncultured bacterium
Lineage: Bacteria
Description: partial 16S ribosomal RNA
Rfam family: Bacterial small subunit ribosomal RNA
Source: RNAcentral